GGGGCACGGGGCGCCGGGCGGAGAUGCGGGGGUCGGGCCGUCUAGAAGCAUUCUGCACAGCGCGUGGGGGUGCAAGACGGCGCUCCAGACACUGUCGGGGGCACGAGGGGGUUGCAGGCUCACCAGAGGCCAAGAAGCAGAGGGCUCCAAAAGUUGGUGUGGAAGUGGAAUUCAUGAUGAAGUUGUGCUGGUACAAGAUGAUUCUGAAGCUCGUGAUAGUUUUUUCAUAAUAACCCUCCUGUGUUAUGGAGAAAAAGUCACAACGACCUUCCCUAAUCAUGCCCAAAAAAUGCACUGCUGUGCUUGGCACGCCAUGCUGGGUACAACACAGCCACACAGCAGCAGUGCAGGGACGCCUCUGGUGUGGAGCGCCGGGCACAGACACGGAGACGCGGGCACCUCGGGCCGGCACUGCCUGCCGGCGAGUCAGGAGGCGCCAAGAGGGAGUCGCUUUUCAGAGUACUGAACACAAAGAACACGGUAACAGUGGCGGGACCAGCGGAUCCGCGGAUUCGGUUACACACGCUGGGUCAGCUGGGAUGAGCAAGGGGAAGGAGCCGCCGACCAGGUCAGCAGUGCUUCUGUCCAGAACACACACACGACAGCCAGACAGGCCCUGCGAGCCCCUGAAGGCGGCAGCCGCUCUGGGACACACCACCACCACUUCCAUAUGAGCGAAGACCGCCUGGCGCUGUGCCGAGGAUGGGCCGGUCUCCUUGACUGCGCCUGGAAGCGGCCAGUGUCCCCACAUCACAGCGUCUUCCUGGAACAGUGCAGUGCUGGGAUUAUCACACAGGUGAUCUCCCUGGAGUUUUUGGAAUAGAGAUUUCAGUCUUGUUUCUAAAACCAGGAAAUAGGUCAAAAGAUCUGCCAGACCGGUUCAUCCGAGUGGUGGGGAGACAGGGACAGGGUCUCGGUGCCGUCGUCCCAGCGGCAGCAAGGACACCUGAGAGCAGCACAGUUCGCCCAGGUCACAAGCAGUAGUGGCCCAGCGCUGUGGGCAGUGGGUGAAGCCACACCUGGACCCCAGCAGCCCACAUGGGCACUGGUUCGAGUCCUGGCUGCUCCACUUCUGAUCCAGCUCCCUGCUAGUGGUCCGGGAAGACAGUGGAACACGGCGUAACUGCCUGGGCCCCUGCCAGCCAUGUGGGACACCAGGUGGAGUUCCUGCUCCCAGCUUCGGCCUGGCCAGUCCUGGCCACCGUGGCCAUCUGGGGAGUGAAGCAGCAGGUGGAAGACCGCCCUCUUCUCUCUUCCCCUCUCUGUCCCCCUGACUUUCAGAUGAGUAAGUAGGUAUUUAAAAAUAAAAUAAAAGCAGUACGGCAGGACUGAGGAGAAGCAGGGGUGCCCAAACCUUAGACUUGGCGUGGCGUGGCGUGGCGUGGCGUGGUGGGACGGCCAGGCCAGAGCGGAGGGCUGUCAAACUGCCCAGUGCCCAGGUCAGACUUCUUUUUGGGACUCUCUCAGGAAAGGAGUCUCGCACAAGGCCACUUGCACAAGGAUACGUCUCUCUGCCCAAUUUGAGGGAAAACUGCAGAGUGGAAUUGCUAUCGCAAAACAUUUGUAAAACAGAUACUAAAAGAGAAAACCAGCGCGCGGACUUGUAUGAAACGCCGACCUGGGGAGCCGCAUGAAGGGCGCCGUGAACCUCUCGUCCUGUGAAGAGCUGGGUUUCUGUCCGCCGCGAGCGCAGCGCUGGGCGGGUGCACUGUGCACCUGAGCGUCCGCGGCCAUAUGGGCCUGCAGGGCGGCCGGCAGCCACUCGGGAAACACUUGCGCGCGGCCAAGGAUUUCUCUUGAGGAGCUGAUUACAGCGCACAGCGGUCAGGACUGAACCCGCAGCCUCGCGGCGUGGACGGGCAGCCGGCGCGUGCACGGCCCCUGGGCUCUGUGACAGGACCGCCAGCCGGAACCACCGCCUUGUAGCGCUGAGGGGGGGGGACGGCAAGGAGGCAGCGCCCUGGAAGACGCACAGCCUUCCUCUGCCACACGCCUGCGCAGCUGCAAGAGAGGGAGGAGGGCUGCUCCGAGAGGCGCCCACAGACGUGACCAGGGCGAAACUGGCCGCGGGCGGGGCCCACGACGCGGAACAGGAGGCAGCCCGAGGGGGGCUCCGGCCCACCGCGCGCCCGCCUGCCCUGCCCGAGCGCUGGGCCGCAUCGCUGGGGAGAAGCGACGUCACGAAGAAGUUUACUUGGCUGCAAGAGAACUUGAAAUCAUCAAAAGUUGUGAAAGAUGCCUAUUAGGAAACACUUGAGUGAAUUUAAAAACAUUUUUUUCCUCAACAUAAGCUUCCCUUUGGAUUCCCCUUUCCCAGGGUUUUCUGAGGGCUCCGGAGGACGGAAGGCCUGACUGCCCUGCUCUGCGGGUGCACCAAGGCACAGUAGGGGGAGGAGGAAGUAAGUGGCCGGGUCAGUCCUCAGCUUCACCCAGCACAGGAAACGGGCUCUCAGGGCUGCUGGUGACGACAGCGCCCCCUGGCAGAACCCGGCUCCAGCCCCGGGCUCCUGGCUUCUGCCUGGACCAGCCCCGGCCGUUGCUGGCAGUAGGGGAGUGAACCAGCGGACAGAAGAUGUCUUCCCCCAGCCUGUUCUGCCUUUCAAGCUAAUAAAAAAUUUUUAGAAAGAAAAUGCA
Non-coding RNA from Oryctolagus cuniculus (rabbit), 2634 nucleotides. The record is from RefSeq and is a predicted model, not a curated record. Lineage: Eukaryota; Metazoa; Chordata; Mammalia; Lagomorpha; Leporidae.